RNAcentral lists this ribosomal RNA (1358 nucleotides) under Beauveria bassiana. RNAcentral's name for it is "eukaryotic LSU rRNA". The stretch from base 462 to 1358 matches the Rfam family "Eukaryotic large subunit ribosomal RNA", at positions 1 to 929 of the family's 3401-position model. Lineage: Eukaryota; Fungi; Ascomycota; Sordariomycetes; Hypocreales; Cordycipitaceae. The record is from RNAcentral.
CCUUCUGUGAACCUACCUAUCGUUGCUUCGGCGGACUCGCCCCAGCCCGGACGCGGACUGGACCAGCGGCCCGCCGGGGACCUCAAACUCUUGUAUUCCAGCAUCUUCUGAAUACGCCGCAAGGCAAAACAAAUGAAUCAAAACUUUCAACAACGGAUCUCUUGGCUCUGGCAUCGAUGAAGAACGCAGCGAAACGCGAUAAGUAAUGUGAAUUGCAGAAUCCAGUGAAUCAUCGAAUCUUUGAACGCACAUUGCGCCCGCCAGCAUUCUGGCGGGCAUGCCUGUUCGAGCGUCAUUUCAACCCUCGACCUCCCCUUGGGGAGGUCGGCGUUGGGGACCGGCAGCACACCGCCGGCCCUGAAAUGGAGUGGCGGCCCGUCCGCGGCGACCUCUGCGCAGUAAUACAGCUCGCACCGGGACCCCGACGCGGCCACGCCGUAAAACACCCAACUUCUGAACGUUGACCUCGAAUCAGGUAGGACUACCCGCUGAACUUAAGCAUAUCAAUAAGCGGAGGAAAAGAAACCAACAGGGAUUGCCCCAGUAACGGCGAGUGAAGCGGCAACAGCUCAAAUUUGAAAUCUGGCUCUCAGGGCCCGAGUUGUAAUUUGUAGAGGAUGCUUUUGGCGAGGUGCCUUCCGAGUUCCCUGGAACGGGACGCCACAGAGGGUGAGAGCCCCGUAUGGUCGGACACCGAGCCUCUGUAAAGCUCCUUCGACGAGUCGAGUAGUUUGGGAAUGCUGCUCAAAAUGGGAGGUAUAUGUCUUCUAAAGCUAAAUAUUGGCCAGAGACCGAUAGCGCACAAGUAGAGUGAUCGAAAGAUGAAAAGCACUUUGAAAAGAGGGUUAAAAAGUACGUGAAAUUGUUGAAAGGGAAGCGCCUAUGACCAGACUUGCGCCCGGUGAAUCACCCAGCGUUCUCGCUGGUGCACUUUGCCGGGCACAGGCCAGCAUCAGUUCAGCGCGGGGGAGAAAGGCUUCGGGAAUGUGGCUCCCUCGGGAGUGUUAUAGCCCGCUGCGUAAUGCCCUGCGCCGGACUGAGGUACGCGCAUUGCAAGGAUGCUGGCGUAAUGGUCAUCAGCGACCCGUCUUGAAACACGGACCAAGGAGUCGUCUUCGUAUGCGAGUGUUCGGGUGUCAAACCCCUACGCGUAAUGAAAGUGAACGUAGGUGAGAGCUUCGGCGCAUCACCGACCGAUCCUGAUGUUCUCGGAUGGAUUUGAGUAAGAGCAUACGGGGCCGGACCCGAAAGAAGGUGAACUAUGCCUGUAUAGGGUGAAGCCAGAGGAAACUCUGGUGGAGGCUCGCAGCGGUUCUGACGUGCGAAUCGAUCGUCAAAUAUGGGCAUGGGGGCGAAAG